AACGCAUCUUGCGCUCUUUGGUAUUCCGAAGAGCAUGCCUGUUUGAGUGUCAUGAAACUCUCACCUCCAGCCUUCUUUAAUUAGAGGUGUUGGGGCGUGGACGUGAGUGCUGCUGGUGCCCUAGUUGCAUCGGCUCACUUGAAAUAAAUUAGCUGAAUCCUCUAGAGGUGGUUCUACUCGACGUGAUAAGAUCUCCGUCGAGGACAGUGCAACUUGUUGUGCUGGCCGCCGCUAGCUGUUGAUACGCUUCUAAUUAGCGCAGACUUCGAGUGCUGGCAACUUUUGACAACUUGGCCUCAAAUCAGGUAGGACUACCCACUGAACUUAA
This 328-nucleotide unclassified non-coding RNA is filed under the name uncultured Cystofilobasidium. RNAcentral describes it as "sequence contains ITS2". The stretch from base 1 to 52 matches the Rfam family "5.8S ribosomal RNA", at positions 103 to 154 of the family's 154-position model. Lineage: Eukaryota; Fungi; Basidiomycota; Tremellomycetes; Cystofilobasidiales; Cystofilobasidiaceae. The record is from RNAcentral.